UACGUAGGGUGCAAGCGUUAAUCGGAAUUACUGGGCGUAAAGCGUGCGCAGGCGGCUUUGCAAGACAGAUGUGAAAUCCCCGGGCUUAACCUGGGAACUGCAUUUGUGACUGCAUGGCUGGAGUGCGGCAGAGGGGGAUGGAAUUCCGCGUGUAGCGGUGAAAUGCGCAGAUAUCGGGAGGAACACCGGUGGCGAAGGCGGUUCUCUGGGCCUGACCUGACGCUGAGGAGCGAAAGCGUGGGGAGCGAACAGG
RNAcentral lists this ribosomal RNA (253 nucleotides) under uncultured bacterium. RNAcentral describes it as "partial 16S ribosomal RNA". It matches the Rfam family "Bacterial small subunit ribosomal RNA", at positions 524 to 776 of the family's 1533-position model. The record is from RNAcentral.